AUGACACACACUGACGGAAUGCAGUCAAAUACACCUGGAAUUAACACCGAAAUAUAUCAGAGGAUAAUCGAGCAAGACCAACUGGAGUUAAAAACAUGUGAGUACUCUGAUCACAAUCUACAGGAUUUGGAACAUGACAUAGACCCGGACAAUAAUUUCUUCUCGAAUAUUAACAAUGACAACAAAUGCUGCUACUACACAGAUGACCAGUAUAACCGGGACAUUACAUCAAAGGGCAAACUAUCAAUUAUACACUUUAAUAGCAGGAGUAUGUAUACAAAUUUCAAUAAUAUCAAGGAAUAUGUAAAUAAAUUCACACAACCAUUCAACAUAAUUGCCAUAUCUGAAACAUGGAUCAACACGGACAAAGGGAUAGACUUCGAACUAAAUGGUUAUGAACUCAGGUAUAAUAACAGAAAAAACAAGGGUGGAGGAGGAGUAGCAAUAUACGUGGAUGUGUCGUUAAACUUUAGGGUAUUGGAUUGUAUGACAACUGUGGUUGAUAACUUACUGGAAUGUAUAACAAUUGAAAUCUGUAAAGAAAAACACAAAAAUGUCAUAAUUAGCUGUAUAUAUAGGGCUCCUGGGUCUAGCAUUGAAAUAUUUAAUGAAUGGAUAGAGGGCAUGUUUUCUCAAAUAAAUAGCAAAAUAGUUUUUAUCUGUGGAGAUUUCAAUAUCGACCUGUUAAAUCCUAACAAACACAACAUUACAGAGGAAUUUGUCAAUACAAUGUACAGUAUGAGCCUAAUUCCGAAAAUCAUCAGACCCAGUAGAAUUACAUCCCACUGUGCCACUUUGAUUGAUAAUAUAUUCACAAAUGAAAUCGAAAACAACACAAUAAGUGGAUUAUUGAUUAAUGAUAUCAGUGACCACUUGCCAGUCUUUACAAUCUAUGACUGCAAUUACAAGAAUAAGCUAGAUAAUCAAACAGAUUACAAAAGAGUGAAGUCAGAAGAAUCCAUCAACGCCCUAAAAAACGACUUAGUGGCUCAGAACUGGGAAAUAAUACACCAAGCAAAUGACAUUGACUGUGCAUACGAAAAUUUUCUACGAAUAUUUAGGUCAUUAUAUGAUAAAAACUGUCCAAUUCAAGAAUACAUUAUACAACUAAAAUAUACCAAAUGUCCAUGGAUCACAAAGGGAUUACGAAAUGCCUGUAAAAAGAAAAACACACUUUACAGAGAU
This 1185-nucleotide long non-coding RNA is filed under the name Gadus morhua (Atlantic cod). RNAcentral describes it as "lncRNA (ENSGMOG00000026585.1)". Lineage: Eukaryota; Metazoa; Chordata; Actinopteri; Gadiformes; Gadidae. The record is from RNAcentral.